Long non-coding RNA from Ictalurus punctatus (channel catfish), 1098 nucleotides. The record is from Ensembl. NCBI's taxonomy places the organism in Eukaryota, Metazoa, Chordata, Actinopteri, Siluriformes, Ictaluridae.
UUAUCAAACACGAGUUUGGUUAACACAAACCUGACAUUAUUUAUCUUUUCUUUUUUCUUCCUUUUUUUUAUUUUAUUUUUUUACUUUUUUGUUGAACCUACAUGUUUUACUUCUGCAUUUAAUUUAAACACAUCUAUCUUAGUUAGGGAUUAAACAGAUGAAAAUUCUCACCGUCCAUCAGAGUAAAAUGAUCCUUAACAGGCUCUGGGUCAAACAGCAAGUCUAGAGGUGUGUUUUCAUUAGCCAUCUCUCUACAACACAGAGAAAUAACACACACUUUACCCACUUGUACUGUAAGUGUAUACAGUGUGUGUUUGUCUUUCCCCAUGUUGAAAGUGCACCGUUAAUCCACAUGCUCAUUAAUUCCUACCUUUCUAUAACAGGUGCGCUCAGAGCUCUUCCAAUCAGAACCGAGACCAGAAACAACCUUAUGAAAGUGUUGCUUUUGAGCAGCAUGAUGGCCCAGGAACUUCAGUGUGAUGAAGAUGGUCCUCACUGCAAACCUGACUGUGAUGUAAUAGACAACUUUACAGCAACACAAUGUCACUCAAGUGCAUGGUUAAAAAUUCCCUAAAUAAUGAUCCCUCUGUGAUUUUCUCCUUCAGGAUUAUACAGUAGACCUGGGACAUACAGUCUUUAAUAGGGAGGUUUGAUUAAAACUCCUUACGUCCACUUUGAAAUGAACCCGUGAGUAAAACAUUUUUGGCUGCAAGGACAUGAAGAGACAGCCGCACUUUCCUGACAGUGUUUUGACCUAUGUGAAGGAGGCUGUAGAGGACCUGAGUGAGCAUAAUAAUAAUAAUAAUAAUAAUAAUAAUAAUAACAAUAUUAAUAAUAAUGACCAUCUUUUUUAAGCAACAAUUUCAUCAACAACAUUAACAAUAAUAAUAAUAAUAAUAAUAAUAAUAGUAAUAACAACGUCAACUACAAUAAUAUCAACAGUAAUAAUGAUAAUGAUAACAUCAAUGACAACACCAACGACAACAACAGUAAUAAUAAUAAUAAUAAUAAUAAUAAUAAUAAUAAUAACAAUAUUAAUCAUAAUGGCCAUCUUUUUUCAGCAACAAUUUCAUCAAUAAUAUCAACAAAAUAAUAAUA